Molecule: unclassified non-coding RNA, 1034 nt
Filed under: Hevea brasiliensis (rubber tree)
Lineage: Eukaryota; Viridiplantae; Streptophyta; Magnoliopsida; Malpighiales; Euphorbiaceae
Source: RNAcentral
AAAAAAAAAAAAAAAAUCCUGCAUAAAACCAAUGUUAGUGCACAAGAUAAUACCAAUACUUUAUAACUCUUAUAGGCAAUACCUGUGUGUUCCAUCUAAGAUAUCAACCACUCAUCUACACUGGAGGUAUUUCCUCCAUGCUCCAUUAUCUUCUUUGUCUAUACCAUUCUGAGUGGCAGUAAAAACCAACCAUAUCAUUGCCAAUUUUCAGCCCAAGAGUUUGAUAGAGUAUGUUUAGAGACCCUAAGAUGUUUCAACAAGUAUACUUUUAUUUUGAACUGGAAAAAUAGAUGAUUCUCAUGCAAAUAGUACAGAUAGACCACAAUACAUUGUGUUUACAACCACAUUGAAUGUCUUGUGUUAUGGUAAUCGGCAGGAUAUUAUAAAUGGAGAGAGAACUGGAAGAAAGAAACUUUUCUCACAAUUGCAGGACAAGCAAAACCAAUGUCUGUUCAAGUGCAGUACAAAAAUGGUACCAAAUUGAAAAUUUGAAACCAAAUUUAAUAGUCACUUUCCUGCACACGAAAUGUGCCAAAAAGAAAAGAAAGUCAUUUACAACUAGAGUAUUUCUGACAACUGCUAUAGCAGGGUGCACACCUCAACGAGAGUUUUAAGCAUAUGAAUGGUGUCUGUGACGAUCCUUAUCCCUCGACGAAUAAGAAGAGCUGUGAUAGUCACGAUCACGUGAUGAAAGAUAUCUUGAUUUCUCUAGAUGUCCUGUAUUUAUGUUGGAAGAACACAAAAUUAGAAGAUCAGGUAGAGGAUAGUUAAAAUUGUUUACAACUACGAAAUUAGUGAUACAGAAGUAUGUGCUUCAGAACUAGGCCGACCAACCAAUGAAACUUAACAGCUAACCUGAAUCUUUUCCUCUAUCCUUUGAACGAUGACUUCGAUCCUUGGAUUUAUCUCUGUCCCUCUCAGCCUCCUCUCGCUCUCUUUCCCUAUCAGAAUCUCUGCUCCUCUCACGAUCCUGGGCCUUUAUUCUAUCCCUCUCUCUCUCCCUGUCCCGAUCCCUAUCCCUGUCCCUGUCCUUG